Molecule: ribosomal RNA, 519 nt
Filed under: uncultured bacterium
Lineage: Bacteria
Description: bacterial SSU rRNA
Rfam family: Bacterial small subunit ribosomal RNA
Source: RNAcentral
CGCAGCGACGCCGCGUGGAGGAUGAAGGUCUUCGGAUUGUAAACUCCUGUUAAGUAAGAAGAAAGUUUCAUCUCUAAUAUAGGUGAAAUCUGACGGUACUACUAAAGAAAGCACUGGCUAACCUCGUGCCAGCAGCCGCGGUAAUACGAGGGGUGCAAACGUUAUUCGGAUUUACUGGGUGUAAAGGGUGUGUAGACGGGUUAUUAAGUUCGUUGUUAAAUCUUCUGGCCUAACCGGAAGCUCGCGAUGAAAACUGAUAAUCUUGAGGGUGGAAGAGAGAAGUGGAAUUCUCGGAGUAGCGGUAAAAUGCGUAGAUCUCGAGAGGAACACCGGUGGCGAAGGCAGCUUCUUGGUCCAUUUCUGACGUUGAAACACGAAAGCGUGGGGAGCAAACAGGAUUAGAUACCCUGGUAGUCCACGCUGUAAACGAUGAUCACUAGAUGUUGGUUCUGUUUUGCAGAAUUAGUAUCGAAGCUAACGCGUUAAGUGAUCCACCUGGGAACUACGAUCGCAAGAUUA